CUCGCUCUUGCCGUGUCUGGCUGAUCGUUUUGCGUGACUUUCCUUCCGUGCUAUGCAUUCGUGGCGUAGUAUCGUGUCGUCGGCUCACGCUUGCCGUGACUGGCUGAAGCAGUGUCACUCAGUGUUUGGGAAAAGCAGCCUCCGGACGGAGAAGUCCCUGCAGUAAGCUUCGUUUCGUCGUGAACUUGCCUGAGCAAGAUGGCAGCGCAUGACGGAUCCCAGUGGCACCGACAGACGAAGCCUGUGGACGACGCUCCUACGGUCGUUAUAGAUUUCAGGUUGCUUCAAGACUGCACAUUGAAGCUCUACAGCUGCAUUUGACCAGGAAGCCUCCUUGGAAACUUCGUGUCUCGAGAAUGUCACCUGACCCUGACAUGGUCUGGGAACACGACACUGCCAAGCUCAUGCACGCAAGCUGUGUCACCUAUUGGGGUCCUGUAUCUCAGAUGACUACAUGAGAAUCCUGUACUACAUGAGAACUACACAUGUUGCAUGUUUUGCACUGUAUGCCACAUAAAAUAUGUAAUGGAUGUCGCAAAGAAGUGCUUGAUGGCUGGCCAUUGAUUCCUAUUCAUAAAAACUGACUGCUGGCUAUGCUAAUGUUUAUGCCAGGUCUAGUAUAUUGCCGCAUUUGACAGUAAUGAACGAUGUUAGCGAAACUAUUGCUUUUCAUAUCUCACUCAUUCUGACAGUAAUGUGUCUCGCUGUAUUUCUGGACGGUGUUUCUGUAUUUCAGUUCUGUACAGAACUCUCCAUACCACCGCUAAAUAUAUCUAUUUAUAUAUAUCAUACCUUAUAUAUAUAAGGUACUUGACACACGACGUACGUUUUAGCAUUAGCAUAGUGCUAAAACGUACGUCGUGUGUCAAAUGCCUUCCUACAAUAUCAGGACCUUCGUGAUCUUUCUGUAGCUCUUAUAUUUAAGGGUCAUUCCAUGCCAAGUGUCCCAGACGUGGCGCUCGCACAUCGCAGCUUUUGCUGAUAAAAUUUGUGCUUUUUUCCUGUGCCACAUGGAGUAUUGUGGCAAAACAUUCUUGCUCGAAAAAAUUUUUGACGGUCCUGGCACCCCCUCGAAUUUCGCUUCUAUUUAUUAAACUGUACCUAAUAGAAAAAUGUGUAUAAAAUCUACUUUUGUCUGUUGAGCUUCUAAACUGCGCUUGCGCUAUCGCAGAGGUUCUGUUUAGUUGUCCCAUUCAUUAUUUCCGAAUUUUUGUGUUUCACUACCAGCUACGUAGCUUCAAAAACUACAAAAAUCUUCAAAGUUCGUGAAUUUUUCUUGAGCUAUCUGGAACUCACCCUAACCAAUAUUAAUAAUAGCCUGAUUUCCAGGAAAGUGUAUUUUAGUACAGAAAUGUUUAGGGGUAAAAUAGACUUCAGAUCUUUCCGAAAAAAAUUGUGAAAUUAGAGAAAAUGUACGAUUUGUUGCAUGUUUGACCAUAUUUUUCAUACUGAUGCGGUCAAAGUAAAAAUCCUCGUCAUGCGGCGUUUGAUGACUUCAUCGUUAAGUAAUGAAAAAAGUCUUAUCAAAUCAUUUUUUUCUUUUAAGGAAGAAAAUAAUUUUUGAAUUUGGCCCUCCGAACGCGCAGUGCAUUUCAUUUUGUUGCCACUUCGCCGCAAAGCACGUGGUAGCCCUUGCAGCUGACACUCGUCACAGGCAACGGCCAGAUGCGAGAUGUAUGUCAGUGGCUUGUGAGUGGUCGAAAGUCUUGUCACGUUGAUGUCAGGGCGACGAGUAAUGAAUUCGCAUUACAAUGUGAGCUUGCUUGGCGGGCCCAAUGGGAAGUAUGGACGCCCGAGAGCAGCCUAUGGCGUCGUUGGCACAUUGUGCUAGAGGCCGUCUG
This is a long non-coding RNA of Rhipicephalus sanguineus (brown dog tick), 1841 nucleotides long. RefSeq lists it as uncharacterized. The transcript is spliced from 3 exons. NCBI's taxonomy places the organism in Eukaryota, Metazoa, Arthropoda, Arachnida, Ixodida, Ixodidae. The record is from RefSeq and is a predicted model, not a curated record.